AAUCUUGAUUAUGCUUUGAGAAUGUUUUUGCAGGAAUAAUUCAAGACUUCAAGACUCCAUGUCUAAGUCAUAGAGUUUGUAUUAAGGGUGUAAAAGUGUAAAUUUCGUUUUUUUUUGAAUUGAUCAUGCAGGAGAUUAUCGUUUGGUGAUUGCGAUGAUCUUCUUUUUAUGAUUUAUUAGUUGUAUACGAACUUUGUAGUAUAUUUUGUCACGAAAUCACCAAAGGGGGAGAUUGUUAAGGAUUUUAUAGGUUGGCGAAUUUCGUAAAGUUGUUUGGAGUCUUGAAGAGUUGAUCGCAGAAGUUUUUGAGAAGAGAUUCAAAUUGGAGGACGAAGACUCAUUCGGAAAGAUCGACACCUAAGGUAUGAAGAAAAGAUCAUUUGUGGUGAAGAUACAUAAUUAGAAUAAGUUCAGAAGGCUUAGAUUGCUUUAAAACAACUUUUCUGAACUUUCAUGUGUUCUGGGACCGGUCCCUGAGAUGGAGAGACCGGUUCCCCUAAGGUCCUCACUGCGUAAACCGUGAUGCAACCGGUCCCCUGUGAUGAGAGACCGGUUCCCGAACCAUGGUGCUUCUGUCGCGCAGCGAGGGACCGGUCUCAAGUUUGAGAGACCGGUUCCCGAACGUUGGGUUUUUGGUCACGCAGAGAGGGACCGGUUCCUCACUUGAGAGACCGGUCUCUCACAGACCGGUCUCCUCGAGAGGACCGGUCUCUGAGGACGA
RNAcentral lists this long non-coding RNA (721 nucleotides) under Ananas comosus (pineapple). RNAcentral's name for it is "long non-coding RNA (ACOM_LNC043508)". The record is from RNAcentral. Lineage: Eukaryota; Viridiplantae; Streptophyta; Magnoliopsida; Poales; Bromeliaceae.